UAGCGCGUCAUCUGGGGAGUAGCCAGCCGUUCCGACGCAAGGGAACGGGCCUUAUGUCAACAUAUUUGGCCGAGAGGUCAUGGCAUGGGGGACGCGGAAUUUCUGCGUAAGGCGAGACCAAUGGCAUCGGCGCUUUUCUGUCCGGCCGGGCGGCGAGCGAC
This 161-nucleotide small RNA is filed under the name Sphingobium indicum. Its description in RNAcentral is "Sphingobium japonicum Manganese sequence". The stretch from base 1 to 108 matches the Rfam family "Manganese Mn2+ riboswitch aptamer (yybP-ykoY)". From Rfam's summary of the family: This RNA was originally discovered in E. coli during a large scale screen and was named SraF. Lineage: Bacteria; Pseudomonadati; Pseudomonadota; Alphaproteobacteria; Sphingomonadales; Sphingobiaceae. The record is from RNAcentral.